Panicum virgatum (switchgrass) is the source of this 1201-nucleotide long non-coding RNA. RefSeq lists it as uncharacterized. The transcript has 6 exons. NCBI's taxonomy places the organism in Eukaryota, Viridiplantae, Streptophyta, Magnoliopsida, Poales, Poaceae. The record is from RefSeq and is a predicted model, not a curated record.
AAAAUCAGAUGCUGGUCCAUCUAAAAUCAGACUUGAUAAGGCAAAGAAUUCAUCACCAGUUGUUCAUGCAAAAGAGCCUGCUGUUUCUGCACCUAAGAAAUUGAAGCAUUCUGCUGUUUUUAAUGCUAAUCAUCACACUCAGAGCGACGUGAUUAUGCUUGACAAGGAGAACUAUUAUGCUCCUAAUUCAAUUUCUCCAUUUCCUAAGCCAGGCAUGACCAGAUUUUUUUUCUAAGCAGGCUGCUUCUGAUAAAGAUAAUGCAUCACCUCCAUUAUCUCAAAGGACUCCAAUUGUGAUGCAAACUAUAGGCUGCACUCCUCACAGUACACAAAGGAAAUCUUCUGCCGUGUCUCAGUGUCUUAGGAAUUCCAGCUCAAGAUUUAAUUCUCGAUUGACUGAAAAUCACAGUGAUUCUCCUGAAGUUAAGAUUGUUGGUGAAAGAUCUCUAGAUGAUAGUGUUUGAGCUAUGAGUAAAAAAUCUGAUAUCAUGUACAACUCAAAACUUCAGAAAUCUGCUUUCAAGGGUUCUGCCCCUCAGGCUUUGUGCCCAGCCCCCUCUGCCCGCUCUGAUGUAAAUGAUUCGCAAUCAUUUUCUUUUGGAGCUUGGGAUUCUACAACUGGUGGUAAACUUCCUGUCCAUGGCCCUAGACGUGUUGUUAAACCUGGACCUUUGUUCAAAGGUGGCUGUGUUACUGGUUCCAAUACCAAUAAGUUUCAUUUUUCUAAAUCUGAGAUUGAUAAUUACAAUAGUAUUGUCAAGUUGGCUUUAUCUGAAUUUCAAGGCGAGGAUGCCGUCAAUCUUUCAGGAGUCCGUUGCACCUUUUGGGCAUUAGGAGACUCUCUUAAACCGGGUGGAGUUGUGAAGUCUUUUGUGGUUUCUAUUUUUGCCUAUAGUCUGUUCUCAAAACCCAGUGGUCAUCCUGUUAAUUCAAGACGACAUUAUUUUUUCUCAAAUAUUUAUGUAAGAUUCUCCCUCUCCUAGCUAAAUUUCCUGUUUGUUUUUGGUUAUCUAAUGGCUUAUUUUUGUUCUCAGUACCUUUUGCUCCUAUCACUAUCAUUUAAAUAUAUUUCCCAUUUUCUAGGAUCAAUUGCUCAAGGAUGUAAAUGAAGCUGAUCAAGAUGUGUUGGCUCGAGCUUUUAGAAGAUCAUCAAAGGCUCGUCCUCUAAAUCAAUCCAAUAUGUUGUUUUAUCCUACUUUCU